AUGCAUGUAGGCGGCACGUGCGGGUACGGGAACCUGUACAGCCAAGGGUACGGGGUGAACAACGCGGCGCUGAGCACGGCGCUGUUCAACGAGGGGGAGAGGUGCGGGGCGUGCUUCGAGAUCCUGUGCGUGAACCAGCCGGGGUGGGCGUGGUGCCUCCCGCGGAGGCCGUCCAUCUUCGUCACCGUCACCAACUUCUACCCGCCCAACUACGCGCUGCCCUCGGACGACAGCGGCUGGUGCAACCCGCCCCGCCCCCACUUCGACGUUGCCAUGCCCAUGUUCCUCCACAUGGCCCAGUACCGCGCCGGCAUCGUCCCCGGCCAAUGGGGCAGGGUGGCGUGCCGGAAGUCUGGCUUGGUGCGGUUCACGAUCAACCUGGUGCUGAUCACCAACGUGGCGGGGACGGGGGACCUGGUGCGCGCCAGCAUGAAGGGGUCCAGCACCGGGUGGAUGCCCAUGCCCGGCAACUGGGGCCAGAACUGGCAGUCCAACGCCAUCCUCGUCGGCCAGCCGGUGUGA
Molecule: ribosomal RNA, 522 nt
Filed under: Triticum aestivum (bread wheat)
Lineage: Eukaryota; Viridiplantae; Streptophyta; Magnoliopsida; Poales; Poaceae
Description: partial small subunit ribosomal RNA
Source: RNAcentral